CCUAAUUAACACUAAUAAACACUAAUACUACUAUAUUGAUUCCAAAAAUUCAACGUCAAUUGCAAUUAAAGUAAAAGAUUAGCAAAAGGGAAUUAGGGUUGGUACCAAUGACCAUCGGGUGCCUGAACUUCAUCUCCCUUCUCUUCUGCGGCCGAAAAUGGCGACGGCGUAUAUGCUACCGUCUCCGAUCAUAAUCCAAGGCAAAACCGCAACCAUACAUCUCUCGGCUCGCUCUCAAUCUCGCUCUCUUCUCAAGAUCUCUCGCUCAUCGUCUCACGGAUAACGCCGUCGUAUCGGUGAAUGCCUCAUAGCAGCGGCGACUCAGGGAACUCAAUUGAUGUCAUCUCAACCACCCUCCGUCUUUGACUCGUCCUCUUCUUCUAUCUCGCUUCUUCGUUUUUCUCAGUUGAUGGUGUUGAUGUGAACGUGUCGCGAUGAUGAUGCUAAUACUGUGUGAGUUCAAUCGGAUGGUGAACGUUGUGAUGCUGAACGAUAGUUAUUUGUUGUGCGAAGCGGUGAACUCAGUCUUGCGAUGAGAAGAUGAAUACGUGAGAUGAAUAAUCGUUGAGAAGGAGAAUCUGAAGCGUGAUUGAAGAUUUCUCGAUGAAUUGCGGAUAAUGAAGAUUCAAGAGCGAGCCUUCAUGAGUUUGUUACAGAUUCAUUGUGACGAAGAACAAAUCAUCAAUGUUGUGGGUUGUGGAGUUGAUUCGAAACAAAGAGCCAAGAUGAUGAUGAUAUUGUUGUUGCUGCGAUGGUGAUCCGAUGAAGAUAGGUGAAUUCCGAGAGAGAGUUUUAGAGACUCAAAGUUUGUUACGUUUUUGAAAAUCUGUUAUUGGUGAAUUGAAGUGUGUAUUCUGAGAAUUCCCGAGUUUCCAGAGCAAGAUUGAAGAUGAUGAAGAUUUAACCGUGGAGAAGAUUGAGAUGGAGGUGGAAUCGGCUCAGAGUCAAGAGAGUAUUGAAGAAUUCUGGUCCUGGAGAUUGUUGAUUGAUGAAGAUGAAGAUGAUGAACGUGAUGAUUGAAGAGGUUCUGAGAUUCUCUGAAGUUUGUUACGUUCUUUUUUCCGGUUAUCGUGAUUGAGAUUGAAGAGAGGUUGGGGGAGAUGAAUUCAGAGAGAGAGAGGUUGAAGUUUGUAACCGCUUUCUGUUUUGAUUUGUUCGGUUCUUCUUGCUUCAGAAUGUUGGCUUGAAUGCAGCAGGUGGUUCUUUGAUGGAGCAUGAAAGGAAAAAUCCAUUUUUUUUGUAUAAUUUUUGUAAUUGAUUUAGUGGGUUUUGUGAUUUGAAUUAUGGACUGAAUAUUGAAUAAAGGAUGUAUAGAUUUUUGUAUUGAACCAUGACGGGCUUUUUUGGUGUAUUUGAAUUUUUGUAAUUCAAUUUUUUUAUGAUGAAUGGUAUGGACUUUUGUAAUGGAUAUAGGAGAUUUUGGUUUUGGAAUAACAAUGAACAAGAAUUCUUUUUUCUCUAAAUGAAUUUCGAAUGAACAUUUUCCUCCAGGGCCUCACUUGCACUUCCAAGUCUUCACAUUGCAAAUUUUGAAUCAAUAGUAAAUUUCGGCAUAUGGUUUUCCAACCUUGAAAUGAUGCACCGAAACUCCAUAUAAACUUCAUUCCUUGCAUAAAAUCCCAAGGCCUUAUAACACAAGUAAUCAUAUGAAUCUAAACCUUGAAUGAUGAUAAAUCAGAAAAACCUUUGAUCGUGAGCACCACAUUAUAUG
This is a long non-coding RNA of Vicia villosa (hairy vetch), 1711 nucleotides long. RefSeq lists it as uncharacterized. The transcript is spliced from 3 exons. The record is from RefSeq and is a predicted model, not a curated record. Lineage: Eukaryota; Viridiplantae; Streptophyta; Magnoliopsida; Fabales; Fabaceae.